UCAAAUACAAUGGGAUAGCCUUCCUAUUUAUAGGCUAUUUGUGGACGUAACUUGUAAGCUAAAUUACAAGAAAAGAAAACCAAAAAUUAAAUCUAAAUGCUAAGCCAUGUGCCAAUCCAUGACCGGCCACACUAACCUAGUUUCUAGAAUGUUUCCUUCACAAAGUGCUUUCUACACUAUCCUAUCUACUAAGUACCCCUAAUGGGCCUUUAUGCAACAAAGCCUUCUUUUCCUAAAACCGUAGCUUGGCUCAUGUGUGUGUGAAGCUAGACGGUCUAGGACUCUUCAUAGAUGCUCCUUAUGUAGCCAUGGCUAGACGCUCCCUUGUGAAGCUAGACGCUCCAUUUGGAAGACUAGACGCUCCUUUGGGAGGCUAGACGCUCCUUUGUGAAGCUAGUCUUAGUCUUUUGGCUUUCAUAGUGUGGUGAGCUUGGGCCCUCUUCCAUCA
RNAcentral lists this long non-coding RNA (448 nucleotides) under Phaseolus vulgaris (common bean). RNAcentral's name for it is "long non-coding RNA (PVUL_LNC000804)". The record is from RNAcentral. Lineage: Eukaryota; Viridiplantae; Streptophyta; Magnoliopsida; Fabales; Fabaceae.